CGAGUGCUUACUUUUGCUUCUUAACUUGUUGGUUGCCGCCAUAUCUUUACAUUGAAGAGUUUUAACAUCACCCUCUAAAGUAACUACUCCUAUUAUCCCCAUUUUCAAAAUGAGAAAACUGAGCUAUAAGGUCUAAUUUGCAUAAGAUCAUAGGGCAGGCAAGUGAUGAAGCCAAGGUUCAGUCCAGGUAGUCUGGCCUCUGAGGUGGUAUUGGACCCCACUGCAGGCUUGUCCUCCUCCGUUCCCACCCUCUUAGUGAAGGAAGGGGAGGUACCAAGCGAACUGUCAUCCAGACGUGGCAUCAGAGGAUUGGUUCUCAGCCUGCUCCAGCCCUUCCUUUGUGUUCUCCCUUAGUCUUCCUCAGCUUCAGUCCCCCACCAGUAAAAUCAGAGCAUUGUUGUUAAAUCAGAGGCAGUAGGUCUUAGAAUGAGAAUUUGGAACCAUGGUCGUGCUGGAAGACGGCAUUAUAAUUCUACUUCUGAUUUUUAUAACCCCAAAACAAGAUGUGAACAAAUUGAAUCAGUAUUUAAUAUUGAGGCCGAUCUCCCCGCUGCCCUUGCCACAGAAGUGGUAUAAAUCCUGGAAGAUAUGUUUGGCCACAAAUGCAUUUGAGAAGAUACUUUCUGAAAGAAGCUUGUACUAUGGGGAGAACAGUUUGAAAAUAGACGUUUGGAAGUGUUUCCGUCAUCAUGUGAGUUCAGCGCUAAAAACUGCCUUUGGCCAUCAUCUAUGAAAACAUUCAGCCCUACAUACUUUAAAUCUGGAAAAGGAAUUUUCUAACCAGUUAGAAACUGGUCCAAAGGAAGAGUUUUAGCAGGUUUUGAAUUCAUUAGUUAAGAAAUAUGAAAUUGCCACACAUUUUUGGUAAUGAAUAUGAAGGGAUGUGGGAAUUCACCUAUUGAUUUUAAAAACCAAUCUGGGUUUGAUGGGUUAAUGUGAUUUAAAGAAUAUGUUAUAUAAUAAACUCAGCCAUCAAUCAGUUUCUUCUGAAUAUAUGGGGUAAUGAGCCUUCAACAGUAGUGGGUCUUUAUCUUUGGGCCUGUGUAUGUUACCUUAUAUGGAAAAGGUAGAUAUGAUUUAGGAUUUUCUGCAGAUAUGAUUAAGGAUUUUGAGAUACAGCAGUUAUCCUUGUGUGCCCUAAAGGCAACCACUAGUGUCUUAGAACAUGAUUAGACACAGACUGAAAAGGCAAAGGCAAUGGAGGCACAGAUUGGAGUAAUGUGGCCACAAGCCAAGGAGAGCUGGCAGCCACCAGAUGCUGUAAGAGGUGGGUACAGAUUUCCCCUUAGAGGCUCUAAAGUAAGCAUGGCCCUAUUUUUUCUCUCAAUGAGAGAAAAAAAAAUGGAUUUUCAAAUGCUAUCAAGUUUGUGGUAAUUUGUUACAGCAACCAUAGGAGACUAAUACAUACACCUAAGUAACUUUGUGAAGCUAUUAUUCAUUUAUUAAAACUAAGUGUUAAUUUGAAAUUAGAGAUACAUAUUUGUUUUUUCUUUACACAAUAUUAAGCUGCAUCUUAAAGAACAAUGAGGCAUCAUUGAACAACAUCUCUCUAAAGACCAAAUAUAUUGGUUUUAUGUGGUAAGUACAAAGGAUUUUUAGCCUCACUAAUAAAUAGAUUUACAUAUAAACUCUAUUUUCUUUUUCCUUGUUAGAAGGCAUAUAUACUGUGUAUAUUUUAUGAAUAUAUUGGUAUAAUGGGAAGAGUACAAUUUAUAAGUAAGCUUGUUGGGGUGCCCUAGGAAACAAAUGUGAAGAAUAUGUUGUACGAGCUUAUUGUCAAGAUGAAAUUAAAUAAAUAUAAAACUCUUGGAACAUGGCAGGUGUCCAUUCUGUGUUUAUUACAGGGAUAAAUGGAUGAAGGGAUGGAUGGGUGGGUAGGUGAAUGGGUGAUAAGGAAAUGGAGGGCUUUAGGUUGAGCAGGUGGAUAGAGGGGUGGGUAGUGAAGACACAGAGAAGCACAAGUUAAGCAGGUGGGUGGAUGGAUGGGGGAUGAAUAAAUGGAGGCGCUUUGGUUAACCAGGGGCCCAGGGAUGUGUGGCUGAUAGUGGAGUUCAGCUGUGGGUCAGGUGUUCUGGAUUCACACAUUGUGCUCUCUCUUGUGUCCCCAUUAAAUGAAGAAAUAUGCUUAUUAAACUUGUCUGUUUCCCUACUUCCUGAUGACUAGUUCUAUUGGUGGCACAUAGAGCUUACUUAUCUCUUCAGUGUCAGGGAGGGUGUGGGGGGAGGAGGUACAGUAGAAGAUCCCUGUGCUGUGUGUGACUGUGUU
This 2266-nucleotide long non-coding RNA is filed under the name Chinchilla lanigera (long-tailed chinchilla). RNAcentral's name for it is "lncRNA (ENSCLAG00000027697.1)". The record is from RNAcentral. Lineage: Eukaryota; Metazoa; Chordata; Mammalia; Rodentia; Chinchillidae.